GGUUGGUCCGAGUCCAUGGUGUUUACAACUAAUUGAUCACAACCAGUUACAGAUUCCUUUGUUCCUUCUCCACUCCCACUGCUCCACUUGACCAGCCUAAA
This 101-nucleotide Y RNA is filed under the name Propithecus coquereli (Coquerel's sifaka). RNAcentral's name for it is "Y RNA (ENSPCOG00000006049.1)". It matches the Rfam family "Y RNA". From Rfam's summary of the family: Y RNAs are components of the Ro ribonucleoprotein particle (Ro RNP), in association with Ro60 and La proteins. The record is from Rfam by way of RNAcentral. Lineage: Eukaryota; Metazoa; Chordata; Mammalia; Primates; Indriidae.